AGACUCCUUUUAGCCUGAUGUUUGGUUCAGAAGCUAUCAUUCGUGCUAAAAUUGGCAUCAAUACCCAUUGGUUCUCCAUUAUGAGGACCAAGCUAAUGAUGUCAUGCUUAGGGAGAACUUGGACUUUUUGGAGGAAACCAAGGAUCAAGUCGCACUUGACCUUGACAGCCCGUGCCUAGCAAGUGGAAAAUGAUUACAACACCAAAGUUCGUAGUAGGAAAUAUCAAG
Molecule: long non-coding RNA, 228 nt
Filed under: Gossypium raimondii (Peruvian cotton)
Lineage: Eukaryota; Viridiplantae; Streptophyta; Magnoliopsida; Malvales; Malvaceae
Description: long non-coding RNA (GRAI_LNC005541)
Source: RNAcentral